Molecule: ribosomal RNA, 494 nt
Filed under: uncultured bacterium
Lineage: Bacteria
Description: partial 16S ribosomal RNA
Rfam family: Bacterial small subunit ribosomal RNA
Source: RNAcentral
GACGAACGCUGGCGGCGUGCUUAACACAUGCAAGUCGAACGGAAAGGCCUGCUUUCCCUUGUGGAUUGCGGGUACUCGAGUGGCGAACGGGUGAGUAACACGUGAGUGAUCUGCCCCCAACUUGGGUAUAAGCCUGGGAAACUGGGUCUAAUUCCCGAUAGGACUGCAGGGUGGUGCCUGUGGUGGAAAACGAUUUUCUAGUGGUUGGGGAUGAGCUCGCGGCCUAUCAGCUUGUUGGUGGGGUAAUGGCCUACCAAGGCGGCGACGGGUAGCCGGCCUGAGAGGGUGGACGGCCACAUUGGGACUGAGAGACGGCCCAGACUCCUACGGGAGGCAGCAGUGGGGAAUAUUGCACAAUGGGCGGAAGCCUGAUGCAGCGACGCCGCGGGGGGGAUGACGGCCUUCGGGUUGUAAACUCCUUUCGACCGCGAGGAAGCCACCUGGUUGGAAGGGUGGUGACGGUAGUGGUAGAAGAAGCACCGGCUAACUACGUG